This 724-nucleotide ribosomal RNA is filed under the name Cocculinidae sp. MNHN IM 2013-42654. RNAcentral describes it as "partial large subunit ribosomal RNA". It matches the Rfam family "Eukaryotic large subunit ribosomal RNA", at positions 50 to 645 of the family's 3401-position model. The record is from RNAcentral. RNAcentral also lists the same sequence under 1 other name. Lineage: Eukaryota; Metazoa; Mollusca; Gastropoda; Cocculinidae.
GCGGAGGAAGAGGAAUUAACAAAGAUUCCCUCAGUAACGGCGAGUGAAGUGGGAUUUAGCCCAGCACCGAAUCCUAGCGAGCGUUGCUUCGCGUGGACCUGUGGUGUUUGGGGCCUCGGCUUUCGGCCGGUGUCGGCGCGCCUCAGUUCCAUUGAAAGGGCAGUUGCUCCAGAGCGGGUGCCAGACCCUUGUGUUGCGCGCGGCCGUGUCGAAUGCUCCAGAGGCCCCUCGAGUCGGGUUGUUUGAGAAUGCAGCCCAAAGACGGUGGUAAGCUCCAUCGAAGGCUAAACAUUGCCACGAGUCCGAUAGCGAACAAGUACCGUGAGGGAACGUUGAAAAGGACUUCGAAGAGAGAGUUCAAGAGUACGUGAAACCGCCUAAAGGGAAACGAGUGGCUCCGCAUUGUCGGCCUGCGGCGUUCAGCUUGCGAUUCUCGAACGGCUGUCCGGCCGGGUGUCCAGCACGGCAGUCCUCUCGCGGGGGCUGUGCGGCGGCCUGGUCGCGAAGUGUGUCGGAGAGCGCGUGCAUUCGCCGCGAGGCAGGGCGUCACGAUCGCUUCUCGCUGCUCGACAGUCGGCGAUGCCGGCGCGUUAGACGACUCCGUUCGCGUGAGUCUGUCGAACCGCGCGGCGUGCCUUCCCGGGUAGUGGGGAGCGUGUAACGAUCGCAGCAACUCUCGCAGUGGCUGCUUUGCAUCGGUGGCGAAUGAGUCGGUCUGCUACUC